This 465-nucleotide ribosomal RNA is filed under the name uncultured bacterium. RNAcentral's name for it is "partial 16S ribosomal RNA". It matches the Rfam family "Bacterial small subunit ribosomal RNA", at positions 339 to 795 of the family's 1533-position model. The record is from RNAcentral.
CUACGGGCCGCUGCAGUCGAGAAUCAUUCGCAAUGCGCGAAAGCGUGACGAUGCGACGCUGCGUGGAGGAUGAAGGCCCUCGGGUCGUAAACUCCUGUCAGGAGGGAAAAGCCGGCACUUGGUCAAUACCCUUGUGCCCCGAUGGUACCUCCAGAGGAAGCCACGGCUAACUCUGUGCCAGCAGCCGCGGUAAUACAGAGGUGGCGAGCGUUGUUCGGAUUUACUGGGCGUAAAGGGUGCGUAGGCGGCGUGCAAAGCUGGAUGUGAAAUCCCGGGGCUCAACCCCGGAACUGCAUCCGGAACUGGCAUGCUAGAGACCAGGAGGGGAGAGCAGAAUUCUAGGUGUAGCGGUGAAAUGCGUUGAUAUCUAGAAGAAUACCGGUGGCGAAGGCGGCUCUCUGGAAUGGUUCUGACGCUGAGGCACGAAAGCGUGGGGAGCAAACAGGAUUAGAUACCCUCGUAGUC